UAGCGGAAAGCAACACCCAGGAGUAAGCGCUUGCAAGGUUAAGACAAAGAGCUCCCAUGGACAGGAAAAAUAAAAGGAUCAUCAGCCAGAAAACAAAGGGCGCCAGAGAGCCAAAUGUAUGCAGCUGAAGAACUUGAAAAAAAUUCUGGGGACUCAAGAGAGGAACCCAUAUUCUCAUUCUCGUUGUCAGUCAUUUUGCAGCUGUCCUGGCCUAGUAUCACCUUCUCUUCUCCAGCCACAUCCCCCACUUCACACUCCCUCAAUUUGGCCCUCCGAGAUUUGGUCCCGUUGGCCAGAGCCAUAGGCUGCCUUUAGGAAAACCCCUGGCU
Molecule: long non-coding RNA, 329 nt
Filed under: Homo sapiens (human)
Lineage: Eukaryota; Metazoa; Chordata; Mammalia; Primates; Hominidae
Description: HSALNT0022186
Source: RNAcentral